GGAAGCAGAUGUGGGGUUAGAGAAUAACAGUGCAUAUCUCCUUUGACAAAAGAGAACAUGCAAAUGCAUAUUGCAUACUUCUGUUUCGUCAAAGGAGAAUUGCACUGUCAGUCACCUGCACAUAAUCAUUUCAUGCCUGCAGCUUCAGUAUCGUGACUAUACCAACAAAUAAGCUUGUAAAUGCUGAACUGUAACAAGUAACAACUGGGAUCAGCAACAUAUAUGUGUACUAGAAGUUUGACGAGAAUUGGUGAAUCUAACAUGGGCAGUUAUUGUCAAGCUUAAAUAGCUCUAUAUUAAGAUUACAAGAAUGUGAUUGAUAUUGAAGGCUAGCUCAAUUGAGUUCUAUUUCCGACCAGCAUAAGCUUCUUCUUUGCCCCUUUUUCUUUUUCUAGGAAGCAUAAGACUCAUACAACUACAGAAAUCUGAGUAAAUUUUGUAUCAUUCAUAGUGAUGAUUCUCUGUUAUAUCAAAAGUAAGCUCUCGUUGAUCUUUUUUCUUCA
Quercus robur (English oak) is the source of this 503-nucleotide long non-coding RNA. RefSeq lists it as uncharacterized. The record is from RefSeq and is a predicted model, not a curated record. The transcript is spliced from 2 exons. Lineage: Eukaryota; Viridiplantae; Streptophyta; Magnoliopsida; Fagales; Fagaceae.